Molecule: ribosomal RNA, 384 nt
Filed under: uncultured bacterium
Lineage: Bacteria
Description: bacterial SSU rRNA
Rfam family: Bacterial small subunit ribosomal RNA
Source: RNAcentral
GACAAACGCUGGCGGGGUGGCAUGAGACAUGCAAGUCGCACGGGGUUGAUCGGGCUUGCUCGAUCAACCUAGUGGCGAACGGCUGAGUAACGCGUAGGUGACCUACCCGGAAGUGGGGAAUAACUGCCCGAAAGGGUGGCUAAUACCGCAUGUGGUCGGCGAAUCAGAUCGCCGUCCAAAGCCGAAAGGCGCUUCCGGAGGGGCCUGCGUCCGAUUAGCUAGUUGGCGGGGUAACGGCUCACCAAGGCGACGAUCGGUAGCUGGUCUGAGAGGAUGAUCAGCCAGACUGGGACUGAGAACGGCCCAGACUCCUACGGGAGGCAGCAGUCGGGAAUUUUGCCCAAUGGACGAAAGUCUGAGCAGCAACUCCGCGUGAGGGAUGAA